Molecule: ribosomal RNA, 253 nt
Filed under: uncultured bacterium
Lineage: Bacteria
Description: partial 16S ribosomal RNA
Rfam family: Bacterial small subunit ribosomal RNA
Source: RNAcentral
GACGUAGGGCGCGAGCGUUGUCCGGAUUUAUUGGGCGUAAAGAGCUCGUAGGCGGCUCGUUGCGUCGGCUGUGAAAACCCGCAGCUCAACUGUGGGCUUGCAGCUGAUACGGGCGGGCUGGGAUUCGGUAGGGGAGCCUGGAAUUCCUGGUGUAGCGGUGAAAUGCGCAGAUAUCAGGAGGAACACCGGUGGCGAAGGCGGGUCUCUGGGCCGAUAUCGACGCUGAGGAGCGAAAGCGUGGGGAGCGAACAGG